UACGUAGGGGGCUAGCGUUGUCCGGAAUCAUUGGGCGUAAAGCGCGUGUAGGCGGUCCUGUAAGUCCGCUGUGAAAGUCGAGGGCUCAACCCUCGAAUGCCGGUGGAUACUGUCGGGCUAGAGUGCGGAAGAGGCGAGUGGAAUUCCUGGUGUAGCGGUGAAAUGCGCAGAUAUCAGGAGGAACACCUAUUGCGAAGGCAGCUCGCUGGGACGUUACUGACGCUGAGACGCGAAAGCGUGGGGAGCAAACAGG
This 253-nucleotide ribosomal RNA is filed under the name uncultured bacterium. RNAcentral describes it as "partial 16S ribosomal RNA". It matches the Rfam family "Bacterial small subunit ribosomal RNA", at positions 524 to 776 of the family's 1533-position model. The record is from RNAcentral.